ACCUGCAAACUUUGGAACAUUGCAGUCUACAGUUAAUUAAGUUAAAAUUGACUGGUGCAUCUGUGGAAUUUUAAUAGUUAUCUACUGUCUACAUUAUAAAUUAAUGUUAUGUGCAUCUGUGAUUACUUCACAUUUAUAAUGUCAAAUUUGGUCUCUCAUGUAAACUUGACGCUUGUCGCCAUUUUAUAAUUCAGCGUAUUUACUUGGUUUUUGAUGCGUGUUUUUAGAUCGUUCAACAAAUAAGAGGGAGUUGAAAGUUCAAUUUGGUCGUACUAAAACAACCAUUGUCUACAUGGGUGUGGUCUUUGGUGAACUAUAUUCUUGAUUUGCUGUUUUCGUCUUCACUCUACAUUAUUAUGCA
Molecule: long non-coding RNA, 361 nt
Organism: Agrilus planipennis (emerald ash borer)
Lineage: Eukaryota; Metazoa; Arthropoda; Insecta; Coleoptera; Buprestidae
Exons: 3
Source: RefSeq, a predicted model, not a curated record